RNAcentral lists this ribosomal RNA (130 nucleotides) under Salmonella enterica subsp. enterica serovar Dublin. Its description in RNAcentral is "partial 23S ribosomal RNA". It matches the Rfam family "Bacterial large subunit ribosomal RNA", at positions 2715 to 2840 of the family's 2925-position model. The record is from RNAcentral. Lineage: Bacteria; Pseudomonadati; Pseudomonadota; Gammaproteobacteria; Enterobacterales; Enterobacteriaceae.
CACUUGUUUGAUGCCAAUGGCACUGCCCGGUAGCUAAAUGCGGAAGAGAUAAGUGCUGAAAGCAUCUAAGCACGAAACUUGCCCCGAGAUGAGUUCUCCCUGAGACUUUAGGUCUCCUGAAGGAACGUUG